This is a long non-coding RNA of Misgurnus anguillicaudatus (oriental weatherfish), 1120 nucleotides long. RefSeq lists it as uncharacterized. The record is from RefSeq and is a predicted model, not a curated record. Lineage: Eukaryota; Metazoa; Chordata; Actinopteri; Cypriniformes; Cobitidae.
AGCGAUUUGCGAACUCAUACAGAGGAAUCUCCUUUAAAUCGCUCUCGCGGUACUUUGACGUCAUCCGGCUGAAGGUUCUUACGGCGCCGCAUGAAGUCGAACAAGCUUAAUGUUUAUUUUCAAACAACACACGUGACAGACGUGACUAAACCUGAUUGGUUGUUGUCAUAGUAACACGUCACGGUGCUAUUUGAAAGCUGUUGUUGUUCAGUUCAGUUCACGAGGUGCAUGCGGUUGCUUGCAUUAAACGUAUAAACUGUUAAAUUAGAUGGCGACUCUGCAUUAAACGUAUUUAUUUAAUUAAUCGGCAAUCAUGUUUCACCAGAGGACUUAGAUAAAACAACUCGAUUUAAAAUGUGAGCAGUUUUAGUGCAUCUGACGUCGCUUUUUGUUUGGAGAUGAACGAGACAACACGAGGCACAGCGACAUAAAUAUGCCCAACCAGAGCCAAGUAGACGGGAACAAAUGAAGAUACAGCGCAUGGAAAUACUUAUUAUUGGUGUUCAACUGCUAUUCACAUUUUUGAAUCGGGACAAAUGUGGAGUGAUUCAGAAGAAAAACGUUUGCAACACAUCCAUUCCAGAGUGCUGUGACAGAUAAAACUGACACGGUUGAUGAGGACACAGUCAAAGCUUUAAAAGACCGUGCGAUAAAGCAGUCUUCAAUUACUAAGGUGUCUAAAUUGCAAGAAGAAGUGACCCUCCACUUAAACAUGUGACAUCUAAACUGUUUUGUGUUUUGGUUCAGCUUUUUAUAGGUUUAUCUUAAGUUGGUUAAAGGCGCAGUGCACAAUUUUUGAAAGCCAAUGUUAACAUUUGAAAUUACCUAAACAAAUAUGCCUCUACCCCAGUGUUUCUCAAACUUUUUCACCCCAAGGACCACUUUAUCUUCUAAAUUUUUUCUGAGGAUCACCUAACAGAAUCCCACUCUAACACUCCCCCAAAAAACAACAAAAUAGGAAGGAUAAGCUAAGUUUAAGUUUAAUAUGCAACUGUUUCAAGUCAAAAACUAAUUUAAAAACAAAUGCAAUGCUAUGUUCAGAAAUUAUUAUACGAAUUUUAUUUCAUUUGAAAAAGUAAAUGUGAAAUGAGUUGCAGCUUAAUAUGAACAACAAACUGCA